GCACUAUGUAAGAGAAAGACCGGAAGUGGCCUGCUGUAACGACCCGGAAAUCAGUACCCCUCAGUAACGGUCCGAACCAUCACUGGCACUAGGAUCCAGAUCGGCUUAAGGCCGCCGGGACCCGUAGCAAGUCGACUAUACUCUCUGUGUACCUGAUACAUCCCAGACAUGAUACAUAUAGACUCAACAAUCCUGUAAAACUUUGUAGGCUUAACUGCUGCUACUCAGAUAUGUCAAUCUGAACUGGCCCUCAGGGCCUAUACCAGGGACUACUAUCUGCUGUGGGUCAUGGGAAUGAAACCCUUUUAAUCUGUAACACAUUCCACUGGUAUCUCAUCAAAGCCAUACAUUAAGCCUAACUCACACAUUUCUCAUCAAGAAACGUAAAACAGGAUUUAUGGACAGGGGAGUAAGCAUACAUCACACAACAGCAAAAACACUAGGGAAAGCACAAGUCUAUCCGUAUAUGACAGUACAGAUCUAUACAUUACAUGACAGUUAAUCUUUUAAUUACAUCAUGUCCACUACACUAUUACAGCAUACAUUCAAGCACAACUUUCCUCUGUACUCUUGCUGACUUUGAUUUCCCAUAGCUAUCUCAGGACCUGCAAAACUGGGGGUAAGGGAGUGGGAUGAGCUCUAGAGCCCAGUAAGGAGGAACAGUAAAACAGUUCAUUAAUUACAUGCUUUCAUGAAAUGCAUCACAUCACAAACAUAUCAUCUCAAGGAUGAACUUGUCACCAAUAGCCCUCAACUACAUGUGAUACUCUGACCAACUGUGCCAGGGAGACGAUGUCAUCACCUGGUCUUCUCUUACCUUCGCUCUGUGCUCUGACUAUAGUACCAGGAGCGACCUGGCCUAUCCAGGGGCGACCUGGUAUGGCUAUCUCAUGCCAUAACUCUGUAUCUGCUCUCUGUCAUGGGCUAAGGAUCAUCCAACAUUCAUCCACAGGAACAACAUCUUAUGCAAUGCAUCAUAUUCGUGAAUUCUAAUGCAACACAACCUAAGAUAUAACAUGGCAGUGUAUGAUGCAUGGAGCAUGCUAGAAUCGUGUCAUUUCUCCUCAAAUAAAAUAGGAAGUUUAGUUCCACUCACCUAUAGCCACUGCUUGGCUAACUCUGGGCUACCUCUAACUCUGCAAUAGUUACGAUUGCUAAACACCUCGGUUCCUCGGGUCCAAUCCUACAAUGGAGGACGCAAAUGAGGCACCACACAUACUCUAUGCAACUGAUAAAACAAUUCCCAAAAACCCCUCUCGAACACCUCAAAACAUGCAUGCAAAACAAGCAAAGGAAGGCUGGACAGGGCACCUUCGGCAGCACCUUCGGCGGCCGAAUGUCUCCUCCAGAGACGAAAGUCAGGCAUGUUCGGCGGCCUAACUUGGACUUUCGGCGGCCGAACCUGAGUUCAUCCAGAACUCAGUUUCGUGCACAAGGAUGCCUGCCAGUCCCUCCAGCACCUGCUCAGCCCUCAAUACAUGUAGUUAACCCCUCUAACACAUGCAUAAACACUUCAACAAGCAGAAAGGAGCGUCAAACUACUUAAACCCAACAAAACAAUACACAUAACAUGCUUACACCAUUCACCCAUCAAAACUACACCUAAUCAUGUAUAACCCAUGAAAACACUAAAACAACCUAUAUACGCAACUCUACCCUUAUCCUCUGUACAAACCUGUUAAACAAGAAGAGGAACAACUCUCUUACCUCCUGAAACUAGAAGAGGAACAACUUGACCUCAGCAAAUCCCCUUCACAAGCUUCAAACCACCAAAACCUCUCUUUUCUCUCCAACCCUUCAAAACGCUUUGAAACACACUCAACCCUCUGCACGAGCUGAUAAAAGCUUGCAGAUGAGUCAAGGGAGACGUGGCCUAACCUCUGGUCAUGAUCUGGAGGUGAACACCUGGCCAAACCACGGACUGAGGAGCGUGCACAACUAACCGACCACCUCAGCUUCGGUUGCCGAAACUGCAUGCAAAACCAUGCAACUUUCGGGGGCCGAACAUUGGGCACUUUCGGCGGCCGAACUUACCUUCGGCAGCCGAACCUGGCCUAUGUCCCCAAAGCCUUUUCUCUUCAAAACUCAAUCAUUUUUCAUUCUAACCCUUUCACAUACUUAAAAAUAUUUCAGAAACCCUUUCUCUUCCCCUUCUAGAAACCUCUGACAUUCUCGAAUUCCACCGGACGGUAGAAAUUCCGAUGUCUGAAUUUUCCGGGUAUUACACCUGCACUACGCCCCCGGCACUAUUGGAUAUGUUAUGUUAUGUUAUGUGUAAGAGAAAGACCAGAUGUGGCCUGCACUACGCCCCUGGCACUAUUGGAUUCAGUAGUGGGCUAUUGGUGACAAGUUCAUCCUUGACGUGAAUUGAUUGUGAUAUGUUGCAUUUCAUGAAAGCAUGAAAAAUAAAUUGAAUGUUAUAUUAUUCUGCUCACUGGGCUCUUGUAG
This 2448-nucleotide long non-coding RNA is filed under the name Manihot esculenta (cassava). Its description in RNAcentral is "long non-coding RNA (MESC_LNC004700)". Lineage: Eukaryota; Viridiplantae; Streptophyta; Magnoliopsida; Malpighiales; Euphorbiaceae. The record is from RNAcentral.